AGUGUUCCUUUGACAUUGGCACUUAAGAAACCUGUUUCCGGUGAUGAGCACUUAGGGAUACCAUGGCUCGCAUUAGGGAUAGGCAGGUACAAAAAUACCUACUCCUUCAAUAUAUUCUAAAGCAUAUUCAUGUAGGAAUAAAACUUAAGCCUAGAUUGGAUAGACAUCAGAGUCUACAAAGAAAAAAUGGCUGACAACAGCUAUCCAAGAUUAAAGAUGAUCUGGGAGUUAAGAAACUUCCUUAUCAUUUUCUUCCAUUUACCAUAAUUCUUACACGAUUCCCACUCUCUUAUCCAAUCCUGUUGCAAGAUUGAGUUUGUGGUGACUUCCAUUUGUAUUUCAACCAGGUUGAGAAAUUCCUGUUUGGCUUCCAUGAUCUUUCAUAGUUAAUUGUGUUUCUGAUGUAUUUAAAUAUCUUUCAUAGCAUCCACAUGGUAUAUACUAAUUAAAAUUUGCGCUUUAUGUUCGCUGCUCACAGAUCUCACUUGAAGCAUGUAUUCGCUGAUGCUGGCCAUUUUAGGACUGCAGCUAUGUGUUCGCACAGUAUGUUACAACUGCGGUGAAAUUUGGUGCCUCCCCGUGGAGUACAUGGUGGGAUUUGCAAGGCUAAGCUGUUCAUAAAUGAGCAAAGAGAGAUUUGUCAAGGCAGUGGCGUGGAAAGUGUAUACCUCAUGACAAUCAUGAUGACACGAAAGAAGAGUGAGCACUGGAUUUUCCCAUGACAAGGCUCCUACCUUUUCACAAGUGCUUUGUUGAUAUGCUCCGGCGUAAGACAACUUUUGCAUGCUUGGGUAACGCAAGUAUAACUGUCAUUUGUUCUA
Long non-coding RNA from Lolium rigidum, 821 nucleotides. RefSeq lists it as uncharacterized. The record is from RefSeq and is a predicted model, not a curated record. The transcript is spliced from 2 exons. Lineage: Eukaryota; Viridiplantae; Streptophyta; Magnoliopsida; Poales; Poaceae.